ACCAGGAUGGCCGAGUGGUUAAGGCGUUGGACUUAAGAUCCAAUGGACGUAUGUCUGCGUGGGUUCGAACCCCACUCCUGGUA
This is a non-coding RNA of Mesocricetus auratus (golden hamster), 83 nucleotides long. The record is from Rfam. NCBI's taxonomy places the organism in Eukaryota, Metazoa, Chordata, Mammalia, Rodentia, Cricetidae.